UUUGCUGCGUCGCAUCAAUCUCUUUUACGUCACAUCAAUCAUUUUUCCCUUCCCUCCCGUGAUGCUUUCGGCCGGUGCAUGCAUUUGUUGUUUUGGCGCCACACGCGGAGAGAUCGCUGCUCUGCUGAAUAAAUUGAGGUCGCAGCAGCAGCAGAGCAGAGAAGGGAGAAGAGAAGGGAGCAGAGGAACGCGAGAAGCAUCAGCAGAAGAGGAGCAACGCAAGCACUUAAUUAGCUUUCGUACCGCCUUAAAUCAUUAUCAUGGCUCAUGGUGGUCUUCCCGAGCUUCUUCAGCAGCGGUACGACGAGAACCAUAGGGGAAGGAUGAUAUUCACAGGACAACAGUUGGGUCCGUUACGAGCCCGGAGUGUGCACAAGAUUAAGGAGUUGGACCCUCGAUUCCACGAGCCACUCGCACGGGCGGGACUACUACCUUUCGCUCUCAUGAUGGCCGGAGCUCCCAUGGAGGUCGGUGGUAGGACACCUCUCCCGGCAAUUGAUGAGGCACUGCUCACAGGUCUCGUCGACCGCUGGCGUCCUGAGACACACACUUUCCACUUUCCUUUUGGUGAGAUGGCAGUAACA
Molecule: long non-coding RNA, 584 nt
Organism: Phragmites australis (common reed)
Lineage: Eukaryota; Viridiplantae; Streptophyta; Magnoliopsida; Poales; Poaceae
Exons: 3
Source: RefSeq, a predicted model, not a curated record